CCUACGGGUGGCAGCAGUGGGGAAUAUUGGACAAUGGGCGAAAGCCUGAUCCAGCCAUGCCGCGUGUGUGAAGAAGGCCUUCGGGUUGUAAAGCACUUUCAGUGGGGAAGAAAGCCUUGGGGCUAAUACCCUCGAGGAAGGACAUCACCCACAGAAGAAGCACCGGCUAACUCCGUGCCAGCAGCCGCGGUAAUACGGAGGGUGCGAGCGUUAAUCGGAAUUACUGGGCGUAAAGCGCGCGUAGGCGGUCUGAUAAGCCGGUUGUGAAAGCCCCGGGCUCAACCUGGGAACGGCAUCCGGAACUGUCAGGCUAGAGUGCAGGAGAGGAAGGUAGAAUUCCCGGUGUAGCGGUGAAAUGCGUAGAGAUCGGGAGGAAUACCAGUGGCGAAGGCGGCCUUCUGGACUGUCACUGACGCUGAGGUGCGAAAGCGUGGGUAGCAAACAGGAUUAGAUACCCCAGUAGUC
This 465-nucleotide ribosomal RNA is filed under the name Vreelandella stevensii. RNAcentral's name for it is "partial 16S ribosomal RNA". It matches the Rfam family "Bacterial small subunit ribosomal RNA", at positions 338 to 795 of the family's 1533-position model. Lineage: Bacteria; Pseudomonadati; Pseudomonadota; Gammaproteobacteria; Oceanospirillales; Halomonadaceae. The record is from RNAcentral.